Molecule: long non-coding RNA, 837 nt
Organism: Lethenteron reissneri (Far Eastern brook lamprey)
Lineage: Eukaryota; Metazoa; Chordata; Hyperoartia; Petromyzontiformes; Petromyzontidae
Source: RefSeq, a predicted model, not a curated record
GGCGGCGGCGCUUGUCCGUCCGCGCUCGCGUGUGAGGCAGUGGCAGCGGCUGGGUCUGAGCUCCGUUAACACACAAUUUUUAACCGCGGUGUAGUCGCCACCACCACCGCUGUUAUUGACUCAACGCUCCCUCCUAAAUCCGGUAGCCCGAGGGACGAGACUCGCCCUCGCUCGACUGCGAAACAUCGCCUCGAAAUCGGCGUUCCCCGAGGCUUGACGACGACGACGGCGGGGGGGGGGGGCGGCGUCCGGCGCGACCCGAAGACGUCCGGGCAAGUGGAUCUAGGCGAGCCGGAGCCCCAAGUCACGCGCUGCGGCUCGGCCUCUUAUCGCGGCCUUGUCAGUCCCACUGUUCCUGCGGGGGAGCGAUACGACAGUCGGCCUGAGUCGGGAGAGCUGGGGCGCUCGGGCACCGCCGGUCUGGGGCCGAGAGUGGCAAUGCGCCACCUCCCAUCGCGGUGGUGACCACGGCUUCUCAAGGCUUCAUCGCGAAAAUGAAGAAGAGACCCCAGGACACGCUUGACUUCCCCUGCCUUUUAAAUUAACGCAUCACGCCACCGAGUUCCAUCCCGACGACGAGGGGGGCUCAGCGGAGCGUACGACCCCCACAGGAGUAAAACAUAAAAAAAGAGACAAAAUCCAAAUCGUCACCAACGCAACCCCGCGUGCGUGCGUGCGCACACCAAUACCUGUCGCCCCGCCACCAAGCGCAUUUGCAAUGGUGACAUAACGUUGCCGUCUGCUCACGAGAUCGACGCAGCCCCCCCCCCCCCCGGCUACCGUCGACGGCGGCGCCGCCCCCUCCAGCCCGCGAAGGAUCGCAGCAGCACGGGCGCC